AAUCCUAAUCAAUUGUGGACAUUUGUUCUCUUUUAUCAAUUUUUACAUUAAAGCUGCAAAAUGUAGCGACCCAACCAAAUUUACAUAGAAAUGUGUGUUAACAGAUCUGUCAUUCUCAUCGAAUGCAAGUUUAAGAAACAGUAGAUAUGUUUUAUGUGUUCUAUUUCUAUGUUUCCUCUUAAGUUUCGGUUUUGCUUUUUUUACUUUGGGUUUUGUACACCAGCUUCAAACAGCUGAAAACACAAUAUUUAUGGUUAUGGAAAAUAUAUAUUCACAGUUGUUUAUACGGUACUAUAUACUUGCUUGUUUUGUGACAUAAACAUAAUUUUUGCAACCAGAAAGUGGUGGAGCGAUUUCUGCAUAGUGCAUCUUUAAAUGAUUGUGUUUUUUUAUUAUAUGUUUUAUUACCUUGUCUUUUUUUUACCAACUGUUGUGAUAAUUUUAUUUGUAUUGUCUUAUUGUCUAUUGAUUGACUCUGCUACUUUACAUUCAUUCUGCAGUUGAGGAAGAGCUGCAAGUAAUACUUUCAUUGUACUAUUUACACAUUGUACUAUUUACCUGUGAUCCUGACAAAUAAACUUUGAUUUUAUUCAAUACUUUAUUCAAAUAUAAUAUUAUUUGUGCAGAAUAGUGCUGAGCGAUUAAACAUCACAUUUUUUGUGAGCCCAACGUGCAGUUUCUCCGGGGAUGCGUUCGUAAAUUCACGCUGACUAUCUAUUCCGAUAUUCAGAGUGCUCUCGUCUGAGUGUGCCAGAGUGCAGAAUAACAAUUUAAUUUACGAGACGCGCAACACACAUAUGACCUGUGUCAGUAAAAGUCGGCAAAAAACGUAAUUAAAUUGUUGCCAGCAGCACAGAUACAGUCACUAACGCUCUAGAUAACAUGAAAACAGCCUAACAGUUCUUCUAGGAGGAGAAAAAUGGGGUGUUCUCAUGUAUGUCUGAAGGGAGUUGUAGUUUUCAUUAAACAUAUUCAACCGAGUUCAGGUCAGAAACGUGGUAAUUAACUACAAUCCCACACUCCAUUGCGCCAUUUCCCCCGAGGUUUCACUCUCGCCAAAAUAAGCCCAAAAAGUAUUUGAUCCCCUGCUGAUUUUGUACGUUUGCCCACUGACAAAGAAAUGAUCAGUCUAUAAUUUUAACGGUAGGUUUUGUUGAACAGUGAGCGACAGAAUAACAACAACAAAAUCCAGAAAAACACAUGUCAAAAAUGUUAUAAAUUGAUUUGCAUUUUAAGUAUACUUUAGCAAUUACAUUUACUUUUGAUGAGUAUAUUUAAAACCAAAUACUUUUAGACUUUUACUCAAGUAGUAUUUUACUGGGUGACUUUCACUUUUACUUGAGUAAAAGUACAGGUAUAUCUUCAUAGAAAUGACUCAAACACGACUGUUGGGGACUUUUUCCACCACUGCUUGUUUGUAUAGUGCAUAAGUAGUCAAAACAUUACAGGCAGACGACACCGGUUUUUCAGCUCGUGGCUGCACUUCCUGUGCUUGUGACCACAGAAGAAGGCAACAAGAAUAGGGUUGAAUGGGGGAACCCUCUCCCUUUUCCCGGGAAUAAAUAACUGCGAGAAACAGGGGGAAGGUCCUCUUCUUGUCGCGGCCCAUGCGGUUGCGGUUGAUGGUGGUGGAGCAGGGAACAGCGUCCAGGUGGUGGGAGCUGUUGGGCAGUGUGGGGACCCACUGGCUGUUCCUCUUCCCCUUCUGCUCCCUGAGAUGGACAGAGAAAUGGGGGCAUUUGAGAAUGUAAGACUGUGACCAAUGAAACCCAUUUGGGUUUUUAAUCCAUUUUAGAACAAGGCUGUAACGUAACAAAAUGUGGAAAGAGUCGAGGGGUCUGAAUACUUUCCGAAUGCACUGUAUAGUAUAUGCAUCAAACUACUAAUUAUACAAAUAGGCCCUACUAUAUUUCAAAAUCAAAUUCGCUAUAUUUUGAAAUCAAAUUCGCUAGCCUAUACUUUUUACUUUGUAGGCUGUCACGCCUGCUCCCGCUCUCCCUCUCUGGCGUUCGAGGGCGCCAGGCUGCCCUUCAUUAUGCACACCUGUCACCUUCAUUACGAGCAGCUGCGCAAUAUUGGACUCACCUGGACACCUACCUUGUUUAAUACCCCCUAUAUAACUGUCUGCUCCCCCAUUUGUUCCCUGUGUCAGCAUUAAUGUCUUUAUGUGUUCAUGUCCAGAUGCUGUCCUGUCCUGUUCCCAUUAAAUGUUCACUCCCUGUACCUGUUUAUCGUCUCUACCAGCGUCGAUCCUUACAGAAUGCUGACAGCAUGAAAAGAAGCAUCAGGGAGUUUUUUUUUUUUUUGGUUGGUGAAGUCGGGUCCGGGUGUGCCUCAGCUAGCUCGUCGGGCUUCCACGCCUUAGCUGGCUCAAGAGGUCUUCUUGCCUCGGUGGGCUCGUCAAGCUCCCACCCCACAUCAUGCUUCAGCCGGCCCAUCAAGCUCCCACUUCUCAGCCGGUUCGUGGGGCUCCCACGCCUCAGCGGGAUCGUCAGGCUUUCACACCUGUGCCGGUUCGUCAGACUCCCACACCUCAGCCGGCUCGCCAGGCUCCCACGCCUCAGCCGGCUUGUCGGGCUUCUACGCCCCCAGCCGGCUUAUCCAGCGCCCUUGCCUCGGCCGGCCCACCAUACUCGCCUAGGUGGGAUGCCGGGUGGUGCCCCUAGAGGGGGGGUACUGUCACGCCCGCUCCCGCUCUCCCUCUCUGCCGCUCAAGGGUGCCAGGCUGCCCUUCAUUACGCACACCUGUCACCAUCAUUACGCGCAGCGGUGCAAUAUUGGACUCACCUGGACUCCAUUACCUUGUUGAUUACCCCCUUUAUAACUGUUUAUUCCCUGUGUCAGCAUUAAUGUUGUUAUUUGUUCAUGUCCAGAUGCUGUCCUGUCCUGUUCCAUGUUCGUUGCUAUUAAAUGUUCACUCCCUGUACCUGCUUCUCAUCUCUACCAGUGUUGAUCCUAACAGUAGGCCGCAUGUGCUGCACCAGAAUCACAUGUUCUCUUCUGUUUUAUCAUGGUUUGAACGAAUUCCAGUCCAUAUAAUACAAUACAGCAUAGUAAUACAGUUUAAACUCCAAAAAUUUGCCGACUGGAGCUCAUUUAAUUUAUUUCCCCAAGAAAGCAUAUAGCUAGCUACAUUUAUGGGCUUUUAUGUUUUUCUGUUGUGCGUAAUGUGCAGUAACCUAUGAAUCAUAUAUGUAUUGGACAAUAAUUUGGGCUUUUAAAAAAAAAUGUUGUUAAUGUAGGGCUCAUAAAAUGUAUUUAAUAUAUGACUCAUCAGGCUCAGGUAGCAUCAGGUUUGAAUUUUCAUGCUGAUCAGAGCUCAAAUCAAAUCCAGACACACAGUAAGUCAUAAUUAUGUUUGGUUAAUUUGGAAUAAGCUUUUAUUUUAAUAUUUACCACUGUAGCAAUACAACAAACUAUCAUGGUCCAAACACACCAAGAAAGUUGUGAAAAGGGCACGACAACACCUUUUCCCCCUCAGGAGACUGAAAAGAUUUGGCAUGGGUCCUCAGAUCCUCAAAAAGUUCUACAGCUGCACUAUCGAAAGCAUCCUGACUGGUUACAUCACCGCCUGGUCUGGCAACUGCUUGGCAUCCGACCUUAAGGUGUUACAGAGGGUAGUGCGUACAGCCAAGUACAUCACUGGGGCCAAGCUUCCUGCCAUCCAGGACCUAUAUACCAGGCGGUGUCAGAGGAAGACCCCAAAAAAUGUAAAAGACUCCAGUCACCCGUCAUAGGCUGUUCUCUCUGCUACCACACAGCAAGCGCUAGCCAAGUCUGGGUCCAAAAGGCUCCUACCCCAAAGCCAUAAGACUGCUGAACAACUAAUCAAAUGACCACCCGGACUGUUUGCAUUGACCCCCCCCCCCCCCCCUUUGUUUUUACGCUGCUGCUACUCGCUGUUUAUUAUCUAUGCAUUGUCACUUUACCCCUACCUACACGUACAAAUUACCUCGACUAACCUGUAUCCCCACACGUUCACUCAGUACCGGUACCACCUGUAUAUAGCCUCAUUAAUGUUAUUUUAUUGUGUUACUUUAUUCAUUUUCUUUUACUUUAGUUAUUUAGUAAAUAUUUUCUUAACUGCAUUUCACAUUAAGGUCUACACAUGUUGUAUUCAGCGCAUGUGACAAAUACAAUUGGAUUUUUAUUGCAUUUUAAAUAAAUAGGAGAAUUGUUAAAUUAGCAUAAUUGAAAGACCCUCUCCCAAAGUAUUACUAUGUUGCAUUUAGGUGACUCGUAGCAUUCAGGGGGUCUGUUACCCCCACUGGUCCCCCGUAAUCCAAAUCGUGUGAUGAUGAUUGGAGGACAAUAUUUGCGGGCUCUGUUAAUUUAGGGCCACGUGCUACAUCAUGGACUACCUUUAUGACAUUAUGUUUUUAUGGAGGCACACAUGAGAGACUACUUUGAUCCCUCAUGAGUCGUCACUGUCUUGCAUCCUUUAUUAGGCUAAUCAAUUAGGCACACAUGCAUAGUAAUGCACACUUCUACAUUUGUGAAAUAGGACAGAUAUAAGCACCCAUCAAAUUAUUAUUAAACAAGUAAUUACAUUUCAGAGAUCUCAAGUUCUGCUCCCGUCCAGCAGGUGGUACUGGAGCAUCGGGUUGAGGACCAACAGGCUCCAAAAGAGCUUAUUUUCCCAGGCCAUAAGACUGUUUAAUAGCAUAAAACUUGAAUAGCUGACCACCCCUGCCCUCUCUCUCUUCCACAGACUACCUGCACGGACUCUAUGCCCAUCCUCAGGUCUCUACCACUUAGCCACAUACACCUACACUGACACUCUUCACAUCCACGUAUACACACACACUCAUGCACCCAUGCUCACACACUCCCCACUGACACCUCACACAUACACUCACACUCAAUCAUUACCAUGCACGCACCACAUAUGCUGCUGCCAUAAUUGAUUGAUUUAUUAUAGGGAUUCAUAUUACCAUCCGAUGCUGCUGUAUUGUUUGUCACGAUUAUUAUUAUCCUUCAGUAUUUAUCCUGCUACCAGCCACUUUAACCUUUUACUGCAGUGGGCUAAAUCAGGGUCACACUAAGUGUUUAUUGGCAGUCUUCAACAAAUCUACCUUGAAACAAAAGUAUACACCUCACACAUGGUUAUGGGCUUAAAAAAAGAAGACAUCUGUACCAUGUCAGAUAUGAAGUUGAAAUGUAUUCAAUUUUGAGUUUGCAUCCCAAUAUUACACUUUAUAUACAUCGCAAAAGUCUGAAAUAUAACAAAAAUGUUUGAUGUAGAAACACCAGAUCUUCUCCGGUUAAAACAAAAUAAAGUUCUAUUAAAUAUGAAAUUAUGAAAAAGAUGAAUAACAUUCCACCCAUCAGGCCACUAGAUCAUGUGGCUGCAGGAAAGGGCUACCACUUGUUUACAUGUACAUUUCUACCUCAAUCACUCCAGUACCCCUGCACAUUGUAACAACGGUAUUGGUACUGCACUCACCUGUAUACAGUAUACCUUAACUGCACUUACCUGUAUAUAGUAUACUUUAACUAUAUUCUCCUUUUUCUUUUCUUUCUUCUCUCACAGUUCACAUGUUUUAUUUCACAUCUAUAUAUCUAAUCUAUGUUAACGUUUAUUGUGCAUUGUUGGGAAAGAGCUCAUAAGUUAAGCAUACUGUACGGUGUUACACCUGCUGUAUCUUGUGCAUGUGACAUUACAUUUUUUAACUAAAACUGAGUGGUAACACUUACUGAUAAUUCAGAUGCUUUCCUCAAUUGUCUUAGAUCAGGCUGCAUGUAACUGGUUUAAAAAUCACUAGAUAGAACUCAAUGUGUAUCUACUGAUGGUAUUAAAUCAGGUUUCCUGGAUAUUAUGAAAGGUGUCCCGCAAGGGUCGAUUCUGGGUCCUGUACUUUUUACUGUUUACAUAGGCUAGGCUACAUAGGCUAGUGGUUAGAGCGUUGCUGGAUCGAAUCCCCGAGCUGACAAGGUAAAACAAAUCAAGAACAAGGCAGUUAACCCACUGUUCCCCGGUAGGCCAUCAUUGUAAAUAAGAAUUUGUUCUUAACUGACUUGCCUAGUUAAAUAAAAUAAAAUAAAUAAAAUAACAAUAUCAACUUGUUUGUAAAAUGUUUUAACCUGCUUGUAUGCUGAGGAUACUGUUGUGUAUGCUAUUGACUCCACAGUUGACCAGGCUCUAUCUGAACCUAUAUUACAGAAAAACUUUAUUGACCUGAAAUUAGUAUAGAAUGCAGGUAAAACUAAGUAUAUGUUUAUUGCGCUCUGGAGUGCAUAAAAAUAACUCUGAUUUGGUUUGUGUCCAUAUUGAUCAAGUUCCUAGGCGACAAUUUUAGUACUCAUCACUGCAUUCUCUACCAGAAAGUUGGUUGGCUCGCUUUGACGUCACAUAGGUUGAUAGAUUGCUAUGUUUUCAUUCAUAAAGCCCUUUUACAAAAAGUCUCACUGUACCAUCAUCAAACUUUAGACAUACGAGUUACCACACCCGGGCUCAGUGAGGUGAACUCUGGAAAUUCCUUUGGUCUCUAGUCUACUGAGUUAGGUAAAUCACAUUUUCUUACACCUUAUUUGUGGAACAAUGUUUUGGUGUCUCUAGGGCAAUUCAGAAAGCUGAUUGAGGACCUUAUUAUUGAUGAAUAUGUUUCGUUUUUUAUGAUCGUGUUUUUCUUUCUGCUCGCAUUUUGUAUUUAUAGUGAACAAAAAUAUAACAUGCAACAACGUGAACGAUUUUACUGAGUUACAGUUAAUAUAAGGAAAUCAGUCCAUUCAAAUGCCCUAAUCUAUGGAUUUCACAUGACUGGGCAGGGGUGCAGCAAUGGGUGGGGCAUAGGGCAUAGGCCCACCCACUUGGCAGGCAUGCCCACCCACUGGAUAGCCAAUAAUGAGUUUUUCCCCAUGAAAGGGCUUUAUUACAGACAGAAAUACUCCUCAAUCCCCCCUGCCCCCACCUCAGACGAUCCCAGUGAAAAAGCCAGAUGGGGAGGUCCUGGCCUCGUGUGGUUACACGUGGUCUGUGGUUGUGAGGCCGGUUGGAUGUACUGCCAAAUUCUGUAAAACAACAUUUGAGGCAGUUUAUGAUAGAGAAAUAAACAUGACAUUAUCUGGAAACAGCUCUGGUAGACAUUACUGCAGUCAGCAUGUUAAUUGCACGCUCCCUCAAAAUUUGAGACAUCUGUGGCAUUGUGUUGUGUGACAAAUCUGCACAUUUUAAAGUGGCCUUUUAUUGGCCCCAGCACAAAGUGCAUCUGUGUAAUGAUCAUGCUGUUUAGCUUCUUGAUAGUCCACACCUGUCAGGUGCAUGGAUUAUCUUGGCAAAGGAGAAAUAUGAACAAAGGAGGGUUAUAAACAAAUUUGUGCACAAAAUUUGAGAGAAAUAAGCUUUUGUGUGUAUGUAAAAUGUCUGGGAUUUUUUAUUUCAGAUCAUGAAACAUGUGACAAACACUUUACAUGUUGCCUUUAUAUUUUUGUUCCGUGUGUAUUUUCUGUAAUUUGUGUAAUUCAUGGCUUAUCUGUAAAGAGACCUUGGUCUCAGUAUGACUCCCUGAUAAAAUAAAGGUUAAAUAAAACUACCA
Long non-coding RNA from Oncorhynchus nerka (sockeye salmon), 7535 nucleotides. RefSeq lists it as uncharacterized. The record is from RefSeq and is a predicted model, not a curated record. Lineage: Eukaryota; Metazoa; Chordata; Actinopteri; Salmoniformes; Salmonidae. The transcript is spliced from 2 exons.